AGGGUUCGAUUCUGGCUCAGGAUGAACGCUGGCGGCGUGCUUAACACAUGCAAGUCGAACGGGAUCCACCGGGCUUUGCUUGGUGGUGAGAGUGGCGAACGGGUGAGUAAUGCGUGACCGACCUGCCCCAUACACCGGAAUAGCUCCUGGAAACGGGUGGUAAUGCCGGAUGCUCCAGUUGAUCGCAUGGUCUUCUGGGAAAGCUUUCGCGGUAUGGGAUGGGGUCGCGUCCUAUCAGCUUGACGGCGGGGUAACGGCCCACCGUGGCUUCGACGGGUAGCCGGCCUGAGAGGGCGACCGGCCACAUUGGGACUGAGAUACGGCCCAGACUCCUACGGGAGGCAGCAGUGGGGAAUAUUGCACAAUGGGCGCAAGCCUGAUGCAGCGACGCCGCGUGAGGGAUGGAGGCCUUCGGGUUGUAAACCUCUUUUAUCGGGGAGCAAGCGAGAGUGAGUUUACCCGUUGAAUAAGCACCGGCUAACUACGUGCCAGCAGCCGCGGUAAUACGUAGGGUGCAAGCGUUAUCCGGAAUUAUUGGGCGUAAAGGGCUCGUAGGCGGUUCGUCGCGUCCGGUGUGAAAGUCCAUCGCUUAACGGUGGAUCCGCGCCGGGUACGGGCGGGCUUGAGUGCGGUAGGGGAGACUGGAAUUCCCGGUGUAACGGUGGAAUGUGUAGAUAUCGGGAAGAACACCAAUGGCGAAGGCAGGUCUCUGGGCCGUUACUGACGCUGAGGAGCGAAAGCGUGGGGAGCGAACAGGAUUAGAUACCCUGGUAGACGACGCCGUAAACGGUGGAUGCUGGAU
RNAcentral lists this ribosomal RNA (802 nucleotides) under human gut metagenome. Its description in RNAcentral is "bacterial SSU rRNA". It matches the Rfam family "Bacterial small subunit ribosomal RNA", at positions 8 to 821 of the family's 1533-position model. The record is from RNAcentral.